Biomphalaria pfeifferi is the source of this 818-nucleotide non-coding RNA. The record is from the annotation of a GenBank genome assembly. Lineage: Eukaryota; Metazoa; Mollusca; Gastropoda; Planorbidae.
AGCCUAGAUAUUACAUGAACCAAUUUUUGAUGUGCUGUGAGCAGUUAAUACCCUUGAAUUGUAUUUCAUAUUCUAGUCAUACAGAUACAAUAAUUAUUUUCAAGCCAGUGUCACAGUUCCAUAACAAAUUACAGUGAUUCCCAUUACUUGCGAUGUCAGCCUGGUAUGCACUUUGGGCAGUGGCGAAGCUAGGUUGAUAUUAAAUAUUAUGCAAAAUGAAGGGGCCACUACGAGGUCAAGCCCCAAAUGAUGGCAAAUUCCUAGCUUUACCCCUUACUUUGGGCCUUUGUCAUGAUGGUCAGAGGUUCAAACCCUGCAAACUGCAGGUUUGUGUCAGGACAUAUUAAUUUUCACAUUAGAUGGAAUAUAUGAAAUUGUGGUGAUACGUUUUGAUAUGUUUAUAAAAUGUCAUAAAAAACUGCAUUUAAUUUAUUCAUCAUUUUUAUUUGCACUCUUUUCCAAGUGUAGACUGAAGAAGAUGUCCAGGCUUCUUUUGGUCUGUCAAUCUAGAGACAUAAUUGUUUUAAAUUGUGUAAUUGUAUGAUUCUGGUCUCAGUUCAUAGGAGACUUCAAUCUUAGUCAAUAUUGUGACAAGUCUUUUUCUUCCAAUGUUUUUUUUUAUCUGUUGUAACCCUUUUUUUUUUUUUUUUUUUUCUUUUCAAAUAUUUUUAUAGACACAGUAAUUCUGUGAUAAGUUUACUUUUUUUUGUUAUAUGUACAUAUGGAUAUUAAUUUUUUACUUAUCUAUAUAAUCUACAUAGAUCUAGUCCCAUAGAUAUAUUUCAUUAUGGCUAUGCCAUGUAGGUGGGGGGGGGGGG